Molecule: transfer RNA, 73 nt
Filed under: Actinoplanes regularis
Lineage: Bacteria; Bacillati; Actinomycetota; Actinomycetes; Micromonosporales; Micromonosporaceae
Rfam family: tRNA
About the family: Transfer RNA (tRNA) molecules are approximately 80 nucleotides in length. Their secondary structure includes four short double-helical elements and three loops (D, anti-codon, and T loops).
Source: Rfam by way of RNAcentral
UCCGGCGUCGCCCAAUAGGCAGGGCAGCGGCCUGUUAAGCCGUACGGUGAUGGUUCGAGUCCAUCCGCCGGAG